GACGAACGCUGGCGGCGCGCUUAACACAUGCAAGUCGAACGGAAAGGCCUGCUUUCCCUUGUGGAUUGCGGGUACUCGAGUGGCGAACGGGUGAGUAACACGUGAGUGAUCUGCCCCCAACUUGGGUAUAAGCCUGGGAAACUGGGUCUAAUUCCCGAUAGGACUGCAGGGUGGUGCCUGUGUUGGGAAACGAUUUUCUAGUGGUUGGGGAUGAGCUCGAGGCCUAUCAGCUUGUUGGUGGGGUAAUGGCCGACCAAGGCGGCGACGGGUAGCCGGCCCGGGAGGGUGGACGGCCACAUUGGGGCUGAGAUACGGCCCGGAAUCCGACGGGAGGCAGCAGUGGGGACUAUUGCACAAUGGGCGGAAGACUGAGGCAGCGACGCAGCGUGGGGGAUGGCGGGCUUCGGGUUGUAAACUCCUUUCGAAAGCGAGGAAGCCACCUGGUUGGAAGGGUGGUGACGGUAGUGGUAGAAGAAGCACCGGCUAACUACGUG
RNAcentral lists this ribosomal RNA (494 nucleotides) under uncultured bacterium. RNAcentral's name for it is "partial 16S ribosomal RNA". It matches the Rfam family "Bacterial small subunit ribosomal RNA", at positions 28 to 507 of the family's 1533-position model. The record is from RNAcentral.